Molecule: ribosomal RNA, 1378 nt
Filed under: Enterococcus durans
Lineage: Bacteria; Bacillati; Bacillota; Bacilli; Lactobacillales; Enterococcaceae
Description: bacterial SSU rRNA
Rfam family: Bacterial small subunit ribosomal RNA
Source: RNAcentral
CGGAGCUUGCUCCACCGGAAAAAGAAGAGUGGCGAACGGGUGAGUAACACGUGGGUAACCUGCCCAUCAGAAGGGGAUAACACUUGGAAACAGGUGCUAAUACCGUAUAACAAUCGAAACCGCAUGGUUUUGAUUUGAAAGGCGCUUUCGGGUGUCGCUGAUGGAUGGACCCGCGGUGCAUUAGCUAGUUGGUGAGGUAACGGCUCACCAAGGCCACGAUGCAUAGCCGACCUGAGAGGGUGAUCGGCCACAUUGGGACUGAGACACGGCCCAAACUCCUACGGGAGGCAGCAGUAGGGAAUCUUCGGCAAUGGACGAAAGUCUGACCGAGCAACGCCGCGUGAGUGAAGAAGGUUUUCGGAUCGUAAAACUCUGUUGUUAGAGAAGAACAAGGAUGAGAGUAACUGUUCAUCCCUUGACGGUAUCUAACCAGAAAGCCACGGCUAACUACGUGCCAGCAGCCGCGGUAAUACGUAGGUGGCAAGCGUUGUCCGGAUUUAUUGGGCGUAAAGCGAGCGCAGGCGGUUUCUUAAGUCUGAUGUGAAAGCCCCCGGCUCAACCGGGGAGGGUCAUUGGAAACUGGGAGACUUGAGUGCAGAAGAGGAGAGUGGAAUUCCAUGUGUAGCGGUGAAAUGCGUAGAUAUAUGGAGGAACACCAGUGGCGAAGGCGGCUCUCUGGUCUGUAACUGACGCUGAGGCUCGAAAGCGUGGGGAGCAAACAGGAUUAGAUACCCUGGUAGUCCACGCCGUAAACGAUGAGUGCUAAGUGUUGGAGGGUUUCCGCCCUUCAGUGCUGCAGCUAACGCAUUAAGCACUCCGCCUGGGGAGUACGACCGCAAGGUUGAAACUCAAAGGAAUUGACGGGGGCCCGCACAAGCGGUGGAGCAUGUGGUUUAAUUCGAAGCAACGCGAAGAACCUUACCAGGUCUUGACAUCCUUUGACCACUCUAGAGAUAGAGCUUCCCCUUCGGGGGCAAAGUGACAGGUGGUGCAUGGUUGUCGUCAGCUCGUGUCGUGAGAUGUUGGGUUAAGUCCCGCAACGAGCGCAACCCUUAUUGUUAGUUGCCAUCAUUUAGUUGGGCACUCUAGCAAGACUGCCGGUGACAAACCGGAGGAAGGUGGGGAUGACGUCAAAUCAUCAUGCCCCUUAUGACCUGGGCUACACACGUGCUACAAUGGGAAGUACAACGAGUCGCGAAGUCGCGAGGCUAAGCUAAUCUCUUAAAGCUUCUCUCAGUUCGGAUUGUAGGCUGCAACUCGCCUACAUGAAGCCGGAAUCGCUAGUAAUCGCGGAUCAGCACGCCGCGGUGAAUACGUUCCCGGGCCUUGUACACACCGCCCGUCACACCACGAGAGUUUUAACACCCGAAGUCGGUGA